AAUUUUGGACAAUGGGGGAAACCCUGAUCCAGCCAUCCCGCGAGUAUGAUGAAGGCCUGCGUGUUGUAAAGUACUCUUGGCAGAGAGGAAAAGUUACCUCCUAAUACGAGGUACUGCUGACGGUAUCUGCAGAAUAAGCACCGGCUAACUACGUGCCAGCAUCCGCGGUAAUACGUAGGAUGCAAGCGUUAAUCGGAAUUACUGGGCGUAAAGCGUGUGUAGGCGGUACGGAAAGAAAGAUGUGAAAUCCCAGGGCUCAACCUUGGAACUGCAUUUUUAACUGCCGAGCUAGAGUAUGUCAGAGGGGGGUAGAAUUCCACGUGUAGCAGUGAAAUGCGUAGAUAUGUGGAGGAAUACCGAUGGCGAAGGCAGCCCCCUGGGAUAAUACUGGCGCUCAGACACGAAAGCGUGGGGAGCAAACA
RNAcentral lists this ribosomal RNA (422 nucleotides) under uncultured bacterium. RNAcentral describes it as "partial 16S ribosomal RNA". It matches the Rfam family "Bacterial small subunit ribosomal RNA", at positions 360 to 774 of the family's 1533-position model. The record is from RNAcentral.